AUGACGCUUUGGAGCAUCACCCUGAGACUGGGACUAAAGUCUACCAGGGCCAGGGGAACCGAGAAGAGCAGGCUGCAGAGGUGGCUCCGCCUGCCUGGGGCAGGCAAGAAACCCAAGACGCUGGUCAGGCUUGAUGUCUGGGUGCUUCUGGCAACCUGCUGCGCCAUUGUCUGGCUGAAUAAGAGACACGCAGGUGAUGCGAAUGAAUACAGCUCAGAAUUCUUCCGAAGGAAGAAAAGGACGACGAACCCGGCGACCUGCAGUGUGGAGAUGGAGAGAUCCGGCAGCCACCGUUGCGCACUUCCCAGACAUACCAGGGGGGAGGAAAAGGAAAGGCGACGGACCUGGGAAUUAAGGCUCUGCAGCCUCACGUGCCAGGAGCAUUCUCCAUCUCUUCCUUCUCUCACCCCUUGCCCCCACCAGUCUCCACUGAAACUGGAGCUGCCCACAGGCUGUCAGAUGAGAGAUAAAGGAGCCUGGCGGCACCCAGGCGCUGACCGGAUCUGGGUUUUCCCAAACUGUGGAGCAGCACCUGAGACCCUACUUCCCCAGGUAGCACUGACCCAGUUCGAGAGAAACGGGUCGAGUGAACAGUAUGCAUAUUCUCCCUCCGGGAAAAACAGCCGCGUCUGUAUGUGGAGUGUGCAUAGAUACAUCCUGUACCCGUGUGUCUGUACACACAUACGUGUGCAUUUGUCAUGCAUCUAG
This 708-nucleotide long non-coding RNA is filed under the name Sus scrofa (pig). Its description in RNAcentral is "lncRNA (ENSSSCG00025003134.1)". Lineage: Eukaryota; Metazoa; Chordata; Mammalia; Artiodactyla; Suidae. The record is from RNAcentral.